GAUAAGGGCGUAUGGGGAAUGCCUAGGCUCUCAGAGGCGAAGAAGGACGUGAUAAGCUGCGAAAAGUCGUGGGGAUUGGCACAUACAAAUUGAUCCGCGAAUAUCCGAAUGGGGCAACCCACUAUAUUGAAGAUAUAGUAUCCGCAAGGAGGCGAACCCGGAGAACUGAAACAUCUAAGUACCCGGAGGAAGAGAAAACAAUAGUGAUUGCGCUAGUAGCGGCGAGCGAACGCGCAGAAGCCCAAACCAAUGAGUUUACGGACUUAUUGGGGUUGUAGGACUGCAACAUUGUUUGUACAAUGAAUUAGAACAAGUUGGAAAGCUUGGCCAAAGACGGUGAUAGCCCGGUAUAGGAAAGUUGAUAUAAAGCAUAGCAGUAUCCUGAGUAGUGCGGGGCACGUGAAACCCUGUAUGAAUCCGGCGGGACCAUCCGCCAAGGCUAAAUACUCCUGAGAGACCGAUAGUGAACCAGUACCGUG
This 479-nucleotide ribosomal RNA is filed under the name Detonula confervacea. Its description in RNAcentral is "partial Bacterial large subunit ribosomal RNA". It matches the Rfam family "Bacterial large subunit ribosomal RNA", at positions 1 to 505 of the family's 2925-position model. The record is from RNAcentral. Lineage: Eukaryota; Bacillariophyta; Thalassiosirophyceae; Thalassiosirales; Thalassiosiraceae.